CUGAUGAUGCCCAGUCACAAUCGCUCCGAGGAAUUCCUUUAAAACUUUAUUUAACCAUGACAGCAGUGCAGAGAGCCAGCUGUCAACGCUGCUGCAGAGGUUUGACACCAGGGUGUCCGGCCAAAAGAAACGAGCGCCAUGGUUACACGCAUGCGCUGUACCAUGUCCCCAAACAGGGAGGAGGGGGGAGGAGGUGCAAAGUGGUAAGGACAACAAAAGGCUGCGGCUGCUCCGCGAAGCCCGCUUUCAACACGGGGACGCCACAGCCGCAAGUACAGACCCGCACAGGAGCUGAAACACAUCAGAUCUCCCCUAAACACUCGACGUGGAAGUGUUCCACUACAAGCAAACAACGGGCGGAUAUUUUAAGCGGUCUGCUUGGCCUCAAACGCAACUGUUCUUCAGGCGCCGAUUUCCUAACAAGAUGGCGGGCACGCCCCUGACAAGCUCUGCGACUCUCCUACGAAGAGUGCGGCUGCCUGCUUCAAACUCCGCGGCGCAGCACACAGCCAAGUCGUUUCAUCCGCUAACAGCAGUUCUGAGGGGGGUCUCAGUGAGGUCGCAGUCGCUCUGCAGACUCUCUGACUCCUACCUUACCAGGUUAAGCGGUGAACAGUCGUAGGUCCUUCGCGCUUGUUUCGGGUCCUCCGCGCCGCUCCCUCCCCGCCUGCUCAGACAUCUUUACAGGGGCCCAGAAUGGACAACUGCGCAGGCGCAACAUUCGGCCCGCCUCCGGCGUCGACGUGUACGAUUCCCUCCGCCAUGUUGGGAAGAACUAUUUUUUAAAUGCUUUGAAGGAAAAUAUGACUGUCAUGUUUUUUAUUAAAAAAAAAAUACAAAUAGGGCCAGUUACAUGUCCCUAAAUAGUGAAAUUGUUCACCACAGCACACAAGCACUUUAAAACGUCUGUUUCAGAGUUGGUGCCAGGUUUAACAAUGCUGCUAUUUUAGGAAAAUAAUGUCAUUAAGAGCACCAAACAAUCAAUAUACCAGGUUCAAGACAUCUAUAUUUCUAUGUUUGCGUUAUUUUUGGUAAGAGCAAAAAUAUUUGGAGCACCCAGGCAUGGAGCUUAACAAUAUGAAGAAAUAAGUUUAAAAGAUUAGCAAUAGUCAAUAAAUGUCUGAAGGUUCUCCAUCCUGGUUAGCUCCAUAUCAACAUUUUAUUUUUUAUAUCACGGUUAUCUGGACCUGGCAUUUCAUAGAGGAUGUGUUGCAUUUUUCAAUCCUGUAACAGUGUAGCCAAGAGUGUGUUUUUAACUCAGAGAAGUAAGACCGCCUAAGUGUGGGUCAUUUGACCUAACAGUCAAUAUAAGCUAUGGUCAGGGCUGCCAUCUAUUCAUAAAAGUGAGACUUAAUGCAGGAAAAAAAAUCACUGUACGCAGACAAGACAUGAGAUACAAAUGUACUUUUGUGAAAGUGUAAUUGUGAAAUAAGGCAUAACACGAUAAAAAAAAAACUGAUUAAUUGAACAGUUAUAAGAAAAAUAAGUAACAUUUUAAAGAGUAACCAUUAACUAUAUAAGAAACCUAGACAGAGUGUGUGAGAUGUCAGCCUUAGAAAACAGUUUACUUCCAACUUCAACCAAAUUUAGUCAAUUCAGAUGUCUUUUUCCCCCAAAAUACAGACACUACCAAUUGGAGCCACAUGGG
Oryzias javanicus (javanese ricefish) is the source of this 1648-nucleotide long non-coding RNA. NCBI's taxonomy places the organism in Eukaryota, Metazoa, Chordata, Actinopteri, Beloniformes, Adrianichthyidae. The record is from Ensembl.